Non-coding RNA from Cricetulus griseus (Chinese hamster), 1589 nucleotides. NCBI's taxonomy places the organism in Eukaryota, Metazoa, Chordata, Mammalia, Rodentia, Cricetidae. The record is from RefSeq and is a predicted model, not a curated record.
CAGGCGGAAGCGCGGUCCUCACGACCCGGAGUGCGAGCACGGAGUAGGUGCUGCACCCUCUACCCUACCGGCGUGUCCGCCCGCCCAUGGCGGGGCAGGCGCUGCAGAGCUCGGGCGUGGGCCUGCGCAGGAUCCUGGCUCACUUCCCCGAGAACCUGAGCCUGGCCUUCGCCUACGGCUCCGCAGUGUACCGCCAGGCGGGACCCAGUGCACAGCAGGAGAAUCCCAUGCUAGACUUGGUGUUCACAGUAGAUGACCCUGUCUCCUGGCACGAAAAGAACCUGAAGAAGAAUUGGAGCCACUACUCCUUCCUCAAACUCUUGGGGCCCAGGAUCAUCGCUUCAGUCCAGAAUAACUUUGGUGCCGGGGUCUACUUCAACCCGCUGAUCAUGUGUGACGGAAAGCUUAUCAAAUAUGGGGUUAUUAGCACUGGCACCCUAAUUGAUGACCUCCUGAACUGGAAUAAUCUGUAUAUUGCUGGACGCCUCCAAAAGCCGGUGAAGAUCGUGUCAAUGAGUGAGAAUGUGACGCUUAGAUCGGCCCUGGAAAAGAACCUGAAGAGUGCGGUGACCGCCGCCUGCCUCAUGCUCCCGGAAAGCUUCUCCGAGGAAGACCUCUUCAUAGAGAUUGCUGGGCUCUCGUACUCAGGUGACUUUCGCAUGGUGAUUGGCGAGGAAAAAGCAAAAGUCUUGAACAUCGUGAAGCCCAACGUAGCCCAUUUCCGAGAGCUCUAUGGGAACAUAUUACAGGAGGACCCCCAGGUGGUGUAUAAAAUGCAGCAAGGCCGACUAGAGAUAGAUAAAAGCCCAGAAGGACAGUUCACUCAGCUAAUGACAUUGCCCAGAACCUUACAGCAGCAAAUCAAUCAUAUCAUGGACCCUCCUGGGAGAAACAGAGAUGUGGAAGAAACCUUGCUGCAAGUGGCUCAAGACCCCGACUGUGGUGAUGUGGUGCGCUUAGGGGUCUCGUCAAUUGUCAGACCUUCAAGCAUCAGUCAGAGCACCAAAGGCCUUUUUACUGCUGAGACCCAUACAUUAAGCAUCUGUACUGUGCUGGCUGCUCAGGAUAUGAAAGUGGGCAUUGGCCAUCUUGCCUCCUAAGCCAGAAAGGGAGACAGACACACGUGUUAAUGGAAAUGGAACAGAAGUAGCUCCCAACCCGAGUGACCUUUCACCCUGUACCCUCUCCCCGGAGGUGGUGUAGCCUGAUGCCUUAGCUGCUGAAAGCUGAAAUUUCUGCCUGUUAACUUCAGUUUGUGUGUGUGAAGAAGUCGGUGAUUUAUAGUUCACGGAAACUGAACAAAAUGUGGAAAGGGUGGUUGACAAAAGCACCCUGACUUGCUGGUGUUUGUGUUGUGUGUAGAUUUUGAAUAAAUGGCUCCGUGCUUUUUGAUGGAGCUUUGUUUAUCACUCUGGCUGGCUGCUUGAAAUUGAGACCAAGGUUUGCUUCAUACUUGGUAGGGUUUAUUUCUGUUAUAUAUUUUGCUUUUAGGCAAGGUCUCACUUUAUAACCCUGGCUAGCCUCAAACUCACCAAGAUCCAUCUGUCUCUACCUCCUGAGUGCCGAUAUUAAAGGCAUGUGCCACUAUG